RNAcentral lists this ribosomal RNA (253 nucleotides) under uncultured bacterium. RNAcentral describes it as "partial 16S ribosomal RNA". It matches the Rfam family "Bacterial small subunit ribosomal RNA", at positions 524 to 776 of the family's 1533-position model. The record is from RNAcentral.
UACGUAGGGGGCAAGCAUUGUCCGGAAUCAUUGGGCGUAAAGAGCGUGUAGGCGGCCCGAUAAGUCCGCUGUGAAAGUCCAGGGCUCAACCCUGGGAUGCCGGUGGAUACUGUCGGGCUCGAGUCCGGAAGAGGAGUGUGGAAUUCCUGGUGUAGCGGUGAAAUGCGCAGAUAUCAGGAGGAACACCAAUGGCGAAGGCAGCACUCUGGGACGUGACUGACGCUGAGACGCGAAAGCGUGGGGAGCAAACAGG